GUAUGGAUUUUUCGGCGUGGCGGUAAAUUGAAUGAUGAGUGGGAGGAUGUCGCUGCCAUUGUUUGGUUGAUAAGGGAGCCUGGCGCACUAUUACCUGGCUCUCUGAAACGAGAGCCCACCUGUCAAUCAAUACCACCCCGCCGAUGCGACAUCAUCAU
This is a non-coding RNA of Drosophila melanogaster (fruit fly), 158 nucleotides long. The record is from Ensembl. Lineage: Eukaryota; Metazoa; Arthropoda; Insecta; Diptera; Drosophilidae.